CUUCUAUUUUAUGGAAUGUAUUUGUCAAACUACAGGCAAGACAUGUUGGUCCUGUUAUCUGGAAAUCUAUCAUAAAAUGGCAAGUAAUGGUCUCAACAACUAAGGUAAGGGUUAUAGGAUGGUUCUUUUGUGGUUUAUAAAAAAUAUACCACGAGUCCAAGCGUGACCAACUGCCUGAUGACUUAUGACUAUACAUAUAAUGACAAAUACAUAUACAAUUUACAUGACUCCAAUAUAAUUAUAUGAUGAACUGAACAUCUGUUCCUUAAAAGUUGCAGACCAGCUACAUAAUGAAUAACAAUAAAUCUUUUGUAUAGAAUGACAGAAUAAAAGUUGAUAAGAUUAUUGUACACAUGAAAAUCGUGAAAUGUUUGUGGAAAAAAAUAUAAGAUUUUUAAACAAAUCUUUAAAUCAACAAUAAAAAUAUCUAAAUUAAAUAAAAUUUUCUUUAUUCUUUAAACACGUUUUUUAACACCUAUAAGACCAAUAAUCAUUCACUUUAGAUUAUCAUCAAGCUUCACUUACACAAUAUUGGCCAGAGUAAGAUAUCUAAUAGCAUUUUAGGUGAACUUAGCGAGUAACUGCUGAAAACUUUUGAAUUAAUAAAUGUUGGAUUAAUAACUUUUAAAUUCAGAUAACACUGUGUGUAUAGUAUUUUGUGUAGUACACCCAAUGCAAAGAUGAAAGAAAACAUCAAAACUGAAAGUUAUUCUAACUGUAUAAAAAAGUGGUACCUUUAGUCCUUCGUUUCAUAGAUGUCCAUUGUACACAUUUUUAAAUUAAAAUAAACAAUUAUGAAAGUUUAUAAGUAUAUAAAUACAAAGCAUUUAAAUAUGGAAAGAAAUAAGAUAAAACUUGAUAUGUUAAUUCAACCAUCAUUUUUAUCACAACUCUAAUGAAUUAUCAAAGUAAUUUAAAACUUAAGUUCUUUGGUACUGAGAGACUAUGUUUGAAAUAGCUCUAUUUUUGUUUAUCUAAAAGAGGUAGCUUGCCUCUCUCUAUAUGUUAAAUAUAUCCAAUAUAAAAAUACGAAGAUAUACGUAUGAUAGUCAAUGAGACAACUUUCCACCAGAAUCUUAAGUGCUAUGGUUAAUCUCAUUGUUCGUACAUGUCAUUGGUUGAAUUUCCAUUGUUUAUAACAUUUUAAACCAUCACAACGUUUUGGUGUACGCUUUUGAAAAUAUUACCCAGAAUGCAUUAUAUUCUGAAACGGCGAAUUGACAUAUAAGUCAGCGACUAGAUGUCACCGUACAAGUAUUUUUUCCAAAAAAAAUAUUGUAACAGUCUUUGAAAUUGUCAGUCUAGUAUUUCAGUGGAAAAAACCUCGACUGACCAAAUGUAUGAUAUGAAAAUAUGGUUGAAAUAAAUAUGAGUUUAGAAUAUUUACCCUUCUGACAUAAUUAUGCAAAAUAAAUUUUAAAUGCUAAUUUGUUAUUAAAAUGUUAUUAAAAUGUGCUAUUAUCUUGAUUGAUAUGGAAUAAUUAAAUUUACAGCAGGAAAAAGGACAAAAAAUUGUUUUAUCUGAUCUUCCUUGGUAAUCAUUUAGAUUAUUUUUACAGGUAUGGGCAUACAUUUUUAUUUUCAAUAAAGGACAUACUUGUUUUCCAAGAUGCCUAUAGGCUAUACACAUUCAUCUUAGAAAGCUUUGCAUGAGCAGUAGCCCAUUUUGUUCCAGUUCAGUACCAGGCUACUAUUGACAAACUUGCGUAAAUAUUCUUCUUAGUUUUUCUUACUUUGUAGGUAUUGCUUUUAUUUGAUUGUCUCUCAUAAAAAUAAUCAAGCACAACCAUUCGAUGCGAUAUUAAUUGGGGGGGGGGGGUAUUUU
This 1825-nucleotide long non-coding RNA is filed under the name Mytilus galloprovincialis (Mediterranean mussel). The record is from RNAcentral. Lineage: Eukaryota; Metazoa; Mollusca; Bivalvia; Mytilida; Mytilidae.